CACUAUGCCCUGCCGUAAACUUAGAUAUUAUUGCACAACAGAUAUCCGCCUGGGGACUACGAGCGCUAGCUUAAAACCCAAAGGACUUGGCGGUGCUUCAGACCCCCCUAGAGGAGCCUGUUCUAGAACCGAUAACCCCCGUUCAACCUCACUACUCCUUGCUUUUCCCGCCUAUAUACCGCCGUCGCCAGCUUACCCUGUGAAGGCACUACAGUAAGCAGAGUGGGCAACGCCCAGAACGUCAGGUCGAGGUGUAGCGUACGGAGUAGGAAGAAAUGGGCUACAUUGUCUGAGACAGACCAUCAACGGAAAGUCAUAUGAAAUCGAUGACUCGAAGGUGGAUUUAGCAGUAAGGAGGGAAUAGAGCGCCCCCCUGAAGCCGGCUCUGAAGCGCGCACACACCGCCCGUCACUCUCCCCAACGGCACCAAUAUUUGGUAUUUAACACGGCAAUGGCCACAAGGGGAGGCAAGUCGUAA
Molecule: ribosomal RNA, 478 nt
Filed under: Sardinella atricauda (Bleeker's blacktip sardinella)
Lineage: Eukaryota; Metazoa; Chordata; Actinopteri; Clupeiformes; Clupeidae
Description: partial small subunit ribosomal RNA
Rfam family: Bacterial small subunit ribosomal RNA
Source: RNAcentral